This 841-nucleotide unclassified non-coding RNA is filed under the name Hevea brasiliensis (rubber tree). Lineage: Eukaryota; Viridiplantae; Streptophyta; Magnoliopsida; Malpighiales; Euphorbiaceae. The record is from RNAcentral.
GGAAUGCCAUGCGAAAAUUGUGAGUUUUUUCCAUUGUGGGUUUUGGUUAGAAGUGCUUUUGAUAAAGGAACGUGAGGUUACGGUUGGAAGGAGGUGGACAAAGGGAGAAACGAGAAGAUGAGAGAAGGGGAAGGUGUCUUUACUUACUGGGUGAAGCUAGAGAUGGAGGUGGGGAGGAUGUUGAUGACAAGGAGAGGAUGAGAGAAAGAGGAAGAUGGGGCAAGUGAGGGGCAACGAGAAAAAUUUUUUUUUUCUUUUUUAUAAAAUGUCUGCCAUGUCAAUAAGUUAAUUGAGAAAUUGAUUAUCUCAUGUAACAAAGGGCUUUAUUAUUAUUCAAAUCGAUUUUCAAAGAUUUUACGUUACAAAUUAAAAUUUAAGACAACGUUGUUACAAUGCACAGACAUUCAUGAAUGAUAGGUGAAAUUUACUCUAUUUUGCUCAACCAACUGACUUUGAUAUUUACAAAGGUCAGAAUGUUAAUCACCUCAAAAAAGCAGUUACAAAAGCUAUUAUCAUUUAAAUGUGAAUGCAAAACAUAAGGGCAGAUUUCACCUAAGUAAGCAGCGGCUUUGUCUCUUCAAUAACAGCAGCGACGCGCUCAGCCAAUAAAUAGCUUUUAGCAACACCAAUUUCCUCCAUUUCAUGUCCGAGACGGGUGAAUAUCCCAACCAAUGCGUCCAAACUUACCCCUUGAUAUCCCUUUAUCUUUUGCCUAUCACAAACAAUUAGACCUUCUUUAACGCAUUCAGCAUCAAGAGGUCCUACAGAAGGUAAUGGAAUCGGAUCUUUAGGUGCAAUAUCAAUCAAUGUUUCCAUGAGAAGACCUGACUGAUUCACCUCA